Molecule: long non-coding RNA, 497 nt
Organism: Aegilops tauschii subsp. strangulata
Lineage: Eukaryota; Viridiplantae; Streptophyta; Magnoliopsida; Poales; Poaceae
Source: RefSeq, a predicted model, not a curated record
UAACUCCCCAUUUUGAUUUCUUCGAUUUUUUGGACAGCGGCCCCUCCUCUUCUCCACGAGCAAGCAUUGUCGGCCAUCGCCCCGUCUCUUCUACUCUCCGGUCGCUGUGGAGCGGAGCCCUUGAAGCAUUCGAAUGGAGCACAUAUAGGCAUUCUCCCUCUCCCUUUUGUGGGUUUACCUAUUCAUCCGCUCAAGAUCUAUUCGAUUAAAUAUGUUGAUCUGUUCAUCCUCUCGGCUCAGGAAGCAACUCAUUUUGGAUGAGAACAAUAUAUAAUUUUGUGACUUUGUCAGGUGUCAGGUUGUCCUUUCUGCUUCUAUCUGAUUGUGUAUAGGUAGUUGGCUGUGUUUUGGGUACUGAUAUGGUUUAGUUAAGGCCAUAUUUUUGGUUAAUGCCAGAUCUAAUUGGAGGUUUAGUUCAGUUAAAAAGAUGAUGCCAUGUGACAUUCAGUAUUUAUGUCCAUAUUUCAGAUCAUAUGCAAAUAAACUAUUUAAAUGGA